Molecule: ribosomal RNA, 460 nt
Filed under: uncultured bacterium
Lineage: Bacteria
Description: partial 16S ribosomal RNA
Rfam family: Bacterial small subunit ribosomal RNA
Source: RNAcentral
CCUACGGGAGGCAGCAGUGGGGAAUAUUGCACAAUGGGCGCAAGCCUGAACCAGCCACGUAGCGUGAAGGAUGACUGCUCUACGGGUUGUAAACUUCUUUUAUAAAGGAAUAAAGUGAGGCACGUGAGUCUUCUUGAUUGGACUUUAUGAACUAGGAUAGUCUAACUCCGUGCCAGCAGCCCCGGUAAUACGGAGGAUCCGAGGGUUGUCCGGAUUUAUUGGGUUUAAAGGGAGCGUAGAUGGGUUGUUAAGUCAGUUGUGAAAGUUUGCGGCUCAACCGUAAAAUUGCAAUUGAUACUGGCAGCCUUGAGUACAGAUGAGGUAGGCGGAAUUCGUGGUGUAGCGGUGAAAUGCUUAGAUAUCACGAAGAACUCCGAUUGCGAAGGCAGCUUACUAAACUGCCACUGACAUUGAUGCUCGAAAGUGUGGGUAUCAAACAGGAUUAGAUACCCUAGUAGUC